GAUGAACGCUGGCGGCGUGCCUAAUACAUGCAAGUCGAGCGAACAGACGAGGAGCUUGCUCCUCUGACGUUAGCGGCGGACGGGUGAGUAACACGUGGAUAACCUACCUAUAAGACUGGGAUAACUUCGGGAAACCGGAGCUAAUACCGGAUAAUAUAUUGAACCGCAUGGUUCAAUAGUGAAAGACGGUUUUGCUGUCACUUAUAGAUGGAUCCGCGCCGCAUUAGCUAGUUGGUAAGGUAACGGCUUACCAAGGCAACGAUGCGUAGCCGACCUGAGAGGGUGAUCGGCCACACUGGAACUGAGACAAGGUCCAGACUCCUACGGGAGGCAGCCGUAGGGAAUCUUUCGGAAUGGGCGAAAGCCUGACGGAGCAACGGCGCGUGAGUGAAGAAGGUCUUCGGAUCGGAAAACCCUUUUAUUAGGGAAGAACAAAUGUGUAAGUAACUAUGCACGUCUUGACGGUACCUAAUCAGAAAGCCACGGCUAACUACGUG
RNAcentral lists this ribosomal RNA (497 nucleotides) under uncultured bacterium. RNAcentral's name for it is "partial 16S ribosomal RNA". It matches the Rfam family "Bacterial small subunit ribosomal RNA", at positions 28 to 507 of the family's 1533-position model. The record is from RNAcentral.